AUUGAACGCUGGCGGCAUGCCUUACACAUGCAAGUCGAACGGCAGCAUGAUCUAGCUUGCUAGAUUGAUGGCGAGUGGCGAACGGGUGAGUAAUACAUCGGAACGUGCCCUGUAGUGGGGGAUAACUAGUCGAAAGAUUAGCUAAUACCGCAUACGACCUGAGGGUGAAAGUGGGGGACCGCAAGGCCUCAUGCUAUAGGAGCGGCCGAUGUCUGAUUAGCUAGUUGGUGAGGUAAAGGCUCACCAAGGCGACGAUCAGUAGCUGGUCUGAGAGGACGAUCAGCCACACUGGGACUGAGACACGGCCCAGACUCCUACGGGGGGCAGCAGUGGGGAAUUUUGGACAAUGGGCGAAAGCCUGAUCUAGCAAUGCCGCGUGUGUGAAGAAGGCCUUCGGGUUGUAAAGCACUUUUGUCCGGAAAGAAAUGGCUCUGGUUAAUACCUGGGGUCGAUGACGGUACCGGAAGAAUAAGGACCGGCUAACUACGUG
This 490-nucleotide ribosomal RNA is filed under the name uncultured bacterium. RNAcentral's name for it is "partial 16S ribosomal RNA". It matches the Rfam family "Bacterial small subunit ribosomal RNA", at positions 30 to 507 of the family's 1533-position model. The record is from RNAcentral.